Molecule: ribosomal RNA, 294 nt
Filed under: uncultured bacterium
Lineage: Bacteria
Description: partial 16S ribosomal RNA
Rfam family: Bacterial small subunit ribosomal RNA
Source: RNAcentral
UUCCUACGGGACGCAGCAGUGAGGAAUAUUGGUCAAUGGGCGCGAGCCUGAACCAGCCAAGUCGCGUGAGGGAAGACGGUCCUAUGGAUUGUAAACCUCUUUUGUCGGGGAGCAAAAGACGCCACGUGUGGCGUUCCGAGAGUACCCGAAGAAAAAGCAUCGGCUAACUCCGUGCCAGCAGCCGCGGUAAUACGGAGGAUGCGAGCGUUAUCCGGAUUUAUUGGGUUUAAUGGGUGCGCAGGCGGAAGCUCAAGUCAGCGGUAAAAUUGAGAGGUGCAACCUCUUCGAGCCGUU